This 844-nucleotide ribosomal RNA is filed under the name Orcula dolium. RNAcentral's name for it is "partial 16S ribosomal RNA". Lineage: Eukaryota; Metazoa; Mollusca; Gastropoda; Stylommatophora; Orculidae. The record is from RNAcentral.
UACUUAUUAUUAAAUAGAUAAACCCGAAAAAUAAAGAUCUACGCUUGUUUUAGUGUUUAGAAUAUUAAUGUGUAAUAUAGCAUUAUUACUAUAAAAAAUUAGUGUAGGGGUGAAACACUUUCAAUUUAUUUGAUAACUGGAUUAAACUGAAAUGAAUUUAGUUCAUUAGAUAAUUACAAAGUUAUAAGAUUUUGUAAGCACGAGAAUAAAAAUUAUAAAUUUUUCAAAGAAGUAAACUUCAAAUUGAAUAGAGAGUAAAAUAUUAAGAUUUAUGUUAAUCUGCUUUUUAGGUUUAUAUCAAAUUAAAUUUCUUAAUGGAUUAAUAAUGCUUAAAUUAGUAAAUCAGUUAAUCUAACGGAAGGAACUCGGCAAAUAUAAUUUUCAACUAGUUUAACAAAAACAUAGCUUUAAGAUAAUAUAUUUAAAGUUUAAUCUGCCCAGUGAAUAUUUUAACGGCCGCAGUACAUUGACUGUGCUAAGGUAGCAUAAUAAGUUGACUUUUAAAUGGAGUCGGGUAUGAAAGGAUAGCUGGAGAUUACCUGUCUCAGGUUAUUUACAUUUAAAUUACUUAAAAGGUGAAAAUUCCUUUACAACUCAUGAUAGACGAGAAGACCCUGAGAAUUAUUAUUAAAAAAAUAUGUUUUACUAAAUUUUUGUUGGGGCAACAAAUUAGGUUUAACCGAAUUAGAAGUAAAUCUCACGUAAUGAUUUUAUAGAUUGAUAUAAAUUACCUCAGGGAUAACAGCAUAAUUAUUUAUAUAGAUUGUGACCUCGAUGUUGGACUAAGGACCUUAUUAAAUAGCCUUUAAUAAGGAUAGUUCUGUUCGAACUGAUAACCUUACAU